Molecule: ribosomal RNA, 422 nt
Filed under: uncultured bacterium
Lineage: Bacteria
Description: bacterial SSU rRNA
Rfam family: Bacterial small subunit ribosomal RNA
Source: RNAcentral
UGAGGAAUAUUGGUCAAUGGGUGCAAGCCUGAACCAGCCAUGCCGCGUGCAGGAUUAAGGCCCUAUGGGUCGUAAACUGCUUUUGUACGAGAAUAAAUGUUGGUACGUGUACCAAUUUGCAGGUAUUGUACGAAUAAGCAUCGGCUAACUCCGUGCCAGCAGCCGCGGUAAUACGGAGGAUGCGAGCGUUAUCCGGAUUUAUUAGGUUUAAAGGGUACGUAGGCUGCCCGUUAAGUCAGGGGUGAAAUCUUUGGGCUCAACCCAGAGGCUGCCCUUGAAACUGAUGGGCUAGAGUAGUGACGGGGCAAGCGGAAUGUGCGGAGUAGCGGUGAAAUGCAUAGAUACCGCACAGAACACCGAUAGCGAAGGCAGCUUGCCAGGGACCCACUGACGCUAAUGUACGAAAGCGUGGGUAGCGAACA